This 243-nucleotide ribosomal RNA is filed under the name uncultured bacterium. Its description in RNAcentral is "partial 16S ribosomal RNA". It matches the Rfam family "Bacterial small subunit ribosomal RNA", at positions 534 to 776 of the family's 1533-position model. The record is from RNAcentral.
GCAAGCGUUGUUCGGAAUUACUGGGCGUAAAGGGCUCGUAGGUGGCCAACUAAGUCAGACGUGAAAUCCCUCGGCUUAACCGGGGAACUGCGUCUGAUACUGGAAGGCUUGAAUCCGGGAGAGGGAUGCGGAAUUCCAGGUGUAGCGAUGAAAUGCGUAGAUAUCUGGAGGAACACCGGUGGCGAAGGCGGCAGCCUGGACCGGCAUGGACGCUGAGGCGCGAAAGCCAGGGGAGCAAACGGG